This 253-nucleotide ribosomal RNA is filed under the name uncultured archaeon. RNAcentral describes it as "partial 16S ribosomal RNA". It matches the Rfam family "Archaeal small subunit ribosomal RNA", at positions 474 to 726 of the family's 1478-position model. The record is from RNAcentral.
CACAGCUGCCUCGAGUGGUGUCCACGAAUAUUGAGCCUAAAGCGUGUGUAGCGGGCUUGGCAAAUUCCCUGUGAAAUCUCCCGGCUCAACCGGGAGGCGUGCAGGGAACACUACCAGGCUUGGGAGUGGGGGAGGACAAGGGUACUUUGGGGGGAGGGGUAAAAUCCUUUAAUCCUCAAAGGACCAUCGGUGGCGAAAGCGCUUGCCCAAAACACGUCCGACCGUGAGACACGAAGGCCAGGGGAGCAAAUCG